This 72-nucleotide transfer RNA is filed under the name Bos taurus (domestic cattle). It matches the Rfam family "tRNA". Rfam says of the family: Transfer RNA (tRNA) molecules are approximately 80 nucleotides in length. Their secondary structure includes four short double-helical elements and three loops (D, anti-codon, and T loops). Lineage: Eukaryota; Metazoa; Chordata; Mammalia; Artiodactyla; Bovidae. RNAcentral also lists the same sequence under 5 other names. The record is from Rfam by way of RNAcentral.
UCUCUGGCGGUCCAGUGGUUAGGACUUUGCACUUUCAUUGCCAGGGCCCAGGUUCAAUCCCUGGUUGGGGAA